RNAcentral lists this transfer RNA (71 nucleotides) under Marmota monax (woodchuck). RNAcentral's name for it is "tRNA.Ala". Lineage: Eukaryota; Metazoa; Chordata; Mammalia; Rodentia; Sciuridae. The record is from RNAcentral.
GUGGUUAUAACUUAGUGGUAGAGAGCUUGCUUAGCCUGUGUGAGGCCCUGGGUUCGAUCCUCAGCACCACA